This 274-nucleotide ribosomal RNA is filed under the name uncultured bacterium. RNAcentral's name for it is "partial 16S ribosomal RNA". It matches the Rfam family "Bacterial small subunit ribosomal RNA", at positions 523 to 796 of the family's 1533-position model. The record is from RNAcentral.
AUACGGAGGGUGCAAGCGUUACUCGGAAUCACUGGGCGUAAAGCGCGCGUAGGCGGCUUCAUAAGUCAGGUGUGAAAGCCCACGGCUCAACCGUGGAACUGCACUUGAAACUGUGAUGUUAGAGUCUGGGAGAGGCAGAUGGAAUUGGUGGUGUAGGGGUAAAAUCCGUAGAGAUCACCAGGAAUACCGAUGGCGAAGGCGAUCUGCUGGAACAGUACUGACGCUGAGGCGUGAAGGCGUGGGGAGCAAACAGGAUUAGAAACCCUAGUAGUCC